RNAcentral lists this ribosomal RNA (253 nucleotides) under uncultured bacterium. RNAcentral's name for it is "partial 16S ribosomal RNA". It matches the Rfam family "Bacterial small subunit ribosomal RNA", at positions 524 to 776 of the family's 1533-position model. The record is from RNAcentral.
UACAGAGGGGGCAAGCGUUGUUCGGAAUUACUGGGCGUAAAGGGCGCGUAGGCGGCCUGUUAAGUCGAACGUGAAAUCCCUGGGCUCAACCCAGGAACUGCGUCCGAUACUGGCAGGCUUGAAUUCGGGAGAGGGAUGCGGAAUUCCAGGUGUAGCGGUGAAAUGCGCAGAUAUCGGGAGGAACACCAGUAGCGAAGGCGGCACUCUGGGCCGGUACUGACGCUGAGGAGCGAAAGCGUGGGGAGCGAACAGG